RNAcentral lists this long non-coding RNA (1173 nucleotides) under Strigops habroptila (Kakapo). Its description in RNAcentral is "lncRNA (ENSSHBG00005007520.1)". Lineage: Eukaryota; Metazoa; Chordata; Aves; Psittaciformes; Psittacidae. The record is from RNAcentral.
UUUUAAAUACAUUUUUUAUUUCUUUUUUUCAUUUGUCUUAGAAAGAAAUAUGAAAUCUGCAUGCAACCUUCUAAAUAUUUCAACCAUUUAAAUAGCAUAUGAUAAUUUAGCGGUACAGUACAUUAUACAGCGAGAUAAUACAGGGAGACUUCCUAGAGUAUAUUUACAAAUGAAAAGGUAGUUUUGUUAUUUUAGAAAGAGGAAUGCACUGCUUAACAUUGAAGUAUUACAUUCAAAAUAAUGAAUAUGUUGUGACUAAAACAUAGGUAUUUAUAUGUUUGCCCUAUCAUAUUUUUUUCAUAAAAAGGUACCUUUUAAAGGCUUUUUUUCAUUGCUACAAAUCUAGGAAAUCAUACACGAUAGUCUUGAAGCUUAAAAUGUCUCAGUAAUGAAGCCACAAACUUUCUGUAAGAGCUUCAGUUGGAAAAAAAAAACCCCCAAAAAACCAAAAACGAAAAACAAAAUAAACAUUUGCUUAGUAAUAAAAAUGACCUAGAAAUGCUUUCUAAUGCAUGGAACAUUAGAUAGGAGAUCUGGUAUGCUUCACCUUGCAGCAAGACCUCAAGUCCAUUGAAGAAGAGGUGCACAAGUGAUGUUCACACUCAUUGACGAUGGGCUGAGGGACCUCACUUCUGCUGUUACAGCCAUGACAUUCCAGUGGCAUCUUCCCCAGCAAGCUCAUCUUUGGUCCCUGCUUUGCCUGACUAAAUUGGAGGCUGCAAACAUGACAAAGAACCACAGCACCGAAGCUUUCCCACUGCGAAAGGGUGAGGGACAUGGCUGUAUAACACCUUUACAAACAUUACUGUUUGUUUAAUGAGCUUAUAAAGCUCGAUUGCAAUCAUAGUGAAGUAUGAAUGAAUAACAAUAAAAAAAACCCCAACAAAUCCAAAUCCAACCUCUUUAAAAUGAAAAGCAUGAGUUUCCCCAAUCUCAGUACAGAGCAGACGGGUAUGAAAUCUGAAGUGCAACAGAUGCAUGUGGAAUCUGGAAGCCUUUUGCAUGUGGCUAUAAAAUGUAAAAACUGACCCUUGGUAAAAAGUGCUUUAUAAUAAUAUAGAUUGUGUCUUAUGUCUGUGAGAGAGAAAUAAUCUUCUGCAGAGCCCAGUCCUAUGCCAGCCAAGGGAGUCUGCUCUGUUCUUCAUGCCGCUUCCUCUUAUUCUUCAUAAACCC